Molecule: ribosomal RNA, 301 nt
Filed under: uncultured bacterium
Lineage: Bacteria
Description: partial 16S ribosomal RNA
Rfam family: Bacterial small subunit ribosomal RNA
Source: RNAcentral
CAGCCGCCACGGGAAUACGGAGGGUGCAAGCGUUAAUCGGAAUUACUGGGCGUAAAGCGCACGCAGGCGGUUUGUUAAGUCAGAUGUGAAAUCCCCGAGCUUAACUUGGGAACUGCAUUUGAAACUGGCAAGCUAGAGUCUUGUAGAGGGGGGUAGAAUUCCAGGUGUAGCGGUGAAAUGCGUAGAGAUCUGGAGGAAUACCGGUGGCGAAGGCGGCCCCCUGGACAAAGACUGACGCUCAUGUGCGAAAGCGUGGGGAGCAAACAGGAUUAGAUACCCCUGUAGUCCCUGUCUCUUAUAC